Cavia porcellus (domestic guinea pig) is the source of this 1302-nucleotide long non-coding RNA. RefSeq lists it as uncharacterized. The transcript is spliced from 4 exons. The record is from RefSeq and is a predicted model, not a curated record. NCBI's taxonomy places the organism in Eukaryota, Metazoa, Chordata, Mammalia, Rodentia, Caviidae.
GAAGAAGAGUGAGGCAUGGUGGGUUUCAUUAAGUGUUGCUGUUUAGGUGUUGGUUCUCCUGGAGGAGCUUGUUAUGAUUAGCUUCCCCAGUGUGAGUUCGACCAUUUUUAUCGGAGGAGCUCAGGUGGCAAAUUAUUAGUUCAGUGGCCUGAUGCAUGGAGUGUUUGGGAUCAGAGCAAACUGAGAGCUGUGUUCAGUGGGAGUACAAAAACGGGAAAUGGUUUUACCAUGUAUGAAAACAGAGUUCUUAUGCACUGUGUCUGCAGCUUACUGUUCACGAAACCAUCGAUGAGCGAGGAGUCAUCAGGACCAGUACCAGGGAUCAACUGAUGACUGCCUGCUUGCAAGGAAGGCACUUAUGCCGCUGAGCUAAAUCCCCAGCCCCGCUUCUUAUAACUUACAAUAUGCGCUGGGCAAGAGCAUCAUUUCACAGCCCCUGGUCAGUCUCACCAUCCUGAGUUGCUGCGCUGUGUUUGGGGAAUGAGGUAUCUGAAGCACAUUGUCAACUUCCCAUAUUCUGAAUCUGUGAUAAGAUUAUGGGGACAAAUUUCCACUCUAAGUCAAGGAGCAGAGCACUUCUACAGUGAAUCACAGCAGUCAUAGACAGGAAGGACUAUUGAAAUCGCCACUUUGUCUUUCUGUCUGUUUGGCACUGGCUUUUUCUAUAUGACCCAAGCCAGCCUAGAACUUUCUGGGCAGCCCAGUCUGCCCUCAAAUUUGGCAUCCUCCUUCCUCAGCCUCUAGAAUGAGGGCAAUAUAGGCAUGUGCCACUACAUGUGUCUAAGUUAUCACUUUGAUUAAAUGCUGGAGGUGAAGUUUGGAAUAGGAUGAGCCCACAGGGGAAUUUCAGGCAGACAUUUUCCCCACCCUUUGAUGUGCUUUCCACCCAAAACCUACCAGGAUUCAAGGGUAUGUCUUAGUUCAAUUUAUUGUAAUAAAAUUCUCAGUACUGAAUGUCAUAAACUAAAGAGAUCUGUAUGGCACACGAUCUGAGGGUCUAAAAAGGAGUCAAGUCAGUCUCUGAAUGUCAUUUUCAUGUAAAAAAAAUUGCUUGUUUGUCCCAAUGAUUUUAUUCUUUGUCUUUUUUAUUUUAAAGAGAAAAAUAAGUAAAUAAAAAUUUCAACAAGAUAAUAGGAGAGUAACAAUGGUUAAUACAUGACAUAUUGUUAUCUUCAAAGUAAUUACUCGGAGUACAAGACAUAGGCAUGAAAACUUGUCCAAAAAUAUCAGAACAACCUUUCAUUCAAUGAACUAAGAGAAACUAGUAGUAUAACUAUCUCCUUCCCUUCCUACUUUCUUUCU